RNAcentral lists this long non-coding RNA (769 nucleotides) under Homo sapiens (human). Its description in RNAcentral is "non-protein coding lnc-ALOX15B-3:1". Lineage: Eukaryota; Metazoa; Chordata; Mammalia; Primates; Hominidae. The record is from RNAcentral.
CUCCACGUUGCGAUGGAUCCUUGGACCCACUUUUGUUAACUCUUAAACUUUGUGUCUUUGUCUUUAUUUCUUUUCUCAUUCCCUCGUCUCCACCGGGAAGGGGAGAGCCUGCGGGUGGUGUAUCAGGCAGGUUCCCCUACAUCUUUGGCACCCAACACGGUCUCCUUGAACCCAGGUGAAGUUACACCUGAGCGUGGUCGUUGUGAAGAACGGUCUGUCCAGGAACUCCCGAGAACGUGUGGUCGGCCUUGCGUCAUGGGUGUGCCACAGAAAGGAAAAAUGGUCUGGUGGAAGGAUACCAGAACCAAAACUUGGAAAUUAAGAAAAAGUAUUACUUGGGGGAGGGGUUUUCCUUGUGUUUCACCAAGAGACAAUCAAACACUCAUUUGGAUACCCAAUAGACAUUUAAAAUUCUACAAUGAACCCUACACCGACCGGUCAGAAAAAAGGAAAGAAUCAAAAGAGAAAGAAGACCGGUCCCUUCGACCUGUCUUUUCGGGAGCUGAGGAAAAUGGUGAAGCUGAGCGUCUCGGAGAAAAAACAGAAGACGGAGAAGACUCGCUAGGCUACACCACUGACAUGGGGACAGAUAAAGAAGCUGACUCAAUUGGCAGAGGACACCCUAAAGGAGAAACAACUAGCGAUUACACCGGGUAAUAUGAUCUUGGCUGCCUUGAUGGUAAUCACCACGGCGGAACACUGCCCUGAAACUGCAGGACUGCUGGGCAGCCAGGGGUCUGGAAAAGGGAUCAGUGUACCUUCAUCUUCC